This 75-nucleotide transfer RNA is filed under the name Candidatus Omnitrophota bacterium. Its description in RNAcentral is "Candidatus Omnitrophica bacterium (groundwater metagenome) tRNA-Met". It matches the Rfam family "tRNA". From Rfam's summary of the family: Transfer RNA (tRNA) molecules are approximately 80 nucleotides in length. Their secondary structure includes four short double-helical elements and three loops (D, anti-codon, and T loops). Lineage: Bacteria; Pseudomonadati; Candidatus Omnitrophota. The record is from RNAcentral.
GGCGGCGUAGCUCAGCCUGGUUAGAGCAGCGGUAUCAUAAAUCGCGGGUCGUUGGUUCAAAUCCAACCGCCGCCA